RNAcentral lists this ribosomal RNA (422 nucleotides) under Pseudomonas nitroreducens. RNAcentral's name for it is "bacterial SSU rRNA". It matches the Rfam family "Bacterial small subunit ribosomal RNA", at positions 1 to 422 of the family's 1533-position model. Lineage: Bacteria; Pseudomonadati; Pseudomonadota; Gammaproteobacteria; Pseudomonadales; Pseudomonadaceae. The record is from RNAcentral.
AUUAAACUGAAGAGUUUGAUCCUGGCUCAGAUUGAACGCUGGCGGCAUGCCUUACACAUGCAAGUCGAACGGCAGCGCGGGGGCAACCCUGGCGGCGAGUGGCGAACGGGUGAGUAAUGUAUCGGAACGUGCCUUGGAGUGGGGGAUAACUAGUCGAAAGAUUAGCUAAUACCGCAUACGACCUACGGGUGAAAGUGGGGGAUCGCAAGACCUCAUGCUCUUUGAGCGGCCGAUAUCUGAUUAGCUAGUUGGUGGGGUAAAGGCCUACCAAGGCGACGAUCAGUAGCUGGUCUGAGAGGACGACCAGCCACACUGGGACUGAGACACGGCCCAGACUCCUACGGGAGGCAGCAGUGGGGAAUUUUGGACAAUGGGGGCAACCCUGAUCCAGCAAUGCCGCGUGUGUGAAGAAGGCCUUCGGG